GCAUCCUUACACAUGCAANUCGAACGGUACAGGUCUUCGGAUGCUGACGAGUGGCGAACGGGUGAGUAAUACAUCGGAACGUGCCCGAUCGUGGGGGAUAACGGAGCAGAAAGCUUUGCUAAUACCGCAUACAGAUCUACGGAUGAAAGCGGGGGAUCGCAAGACCUCGCGCGGACGGAGCGGCCGAUGGCAGAUUAGGUAGUUGGUGGGAUAAAAGCUUACCAAGCCGACGAUCUGUAGCUGGUCUGAGAGGAUGAUCAGCCACACUGGGACUGAGACACGGCCCAGACUCCUACGGGAGGCAGCAGUGGGGAAUUUUGGACAAUGGGGGCAACCCUGAUCCAGCCAUGCCGCGUGCAGGAUGAAGGCCUUCGGGUUGUAAACUGCUUUUGUACGGAACGAAAAGACUCUGGUUAAUACCUGGGGUCCAUGACGGUACCGUAAGAAUAAGCACCGGCUAACUACGUGCCAGCAGCCCGCGGUAAUACCUUAGG
Molecule: ribosomal RNA, 494 nt
Filed under: uncultured bacterium
Lineage: Bacteria
Description: bacterial SSU rRNA
Rfam family: Bacterial small subunit ribosomal RNA
Source: RNAcentral